AACGAACGCUGGCGGCAUGCCUAACACAUGCAAGUCGAACGAGACCUUCGGGUCUAGUGGCGCACGGGUGCGUAACGCGUGGGAACCUGCCCUUAGGUUCGGAAUAACUCCCCGAAAGGGGUGCUAAUACCGGAUAAUGUCUUCGGACCAAAGAUUUAUCGCCUUUGGAUGGGCCCGCGUUGGAUUAGCUAGUUGGUAGGGUAAAAGCCUACCAAGGCGACGAUCCAUAGCUGGUCUGAGAGGAUGAUCAGCCACACUGGGACUGAGACACGGCCCAGACUCCCCCGGGAGGCAGCAGUGGGGAAUUUUGGAAAAGGGGCGAAAGCCUGAUCCAGCAAUGCCGGGGGAGUGAUGAAGGCCUUAGGGUUGUAAAGCUCUUUUCCCCGGGAUGAUAAUGACAGUACCGGGAGAAUAAGCCCCGGCUAACUCCGG
RNAcentral lists this ribosomal RNA (432 nucleotides) under uncultured bacterium. RNAcentral's name for it is "partial 16S ribosomal RNA". It matches the Rfam family "Bacterial small subunit ribosomal RNA", at positions 29 to 506 of the family's 1533-position model. The record is from RNAcentral.